UUGGGCCGCCUAAUAGUGCAAGUCGAGCGGUAGCACAGAGAGCUUGCUCUCGGGUGACGAGCGGCGGACGGGUGAGUAAUGUCUGGGAAACUGCCUGAUGGAGGGGGAUAACUACUGGAAACGGUAGCUAAUACCGCAUAAUGUCGCAAGACCAAAGUGGGGGACCUUCGGGCCUCAUGCCAUCAGAUGUGCCCAGAUGGGAUUAGCUAGUAGGUGGGGUAACGGCUCACCUAGGCGACGAUCCCUAGCUGGUCUGAGAGGAUGACCAGCCACACUGGAACUGAGACACGGUCCAGACUCCUACGGGAGGCAGCAGUGGGGAAUAUUGCACAAUGGGCGCAAGCCUGAUGCAGCCAUGCCGCGUGUGUGAAGAAGGCCUUCGGGUUGUAAAGCCUUUCAGCGGGGAGGAAGGCGUUAAGGUUA
This 423-nucleotide ribosomal RNA is filed under the name Klebsiella pneumoniae. RNAcentral describes it as "bacterial SSU rRNA". It matches the Rfam family "Bacterial small subunit ribosomal RNA", at positions 37 to 462 of the family's 1533-position model. The record is from RNAcentral. Lineage: Bacteria; Pseudomonadati; Pseudomonadota; Gammaproteobacteria; Enterobacterales; Enterobacteriaceae.